GCAGUCGAACGCGUUGGCCCAAUUGAUUGAUGGUGCUUGCACCUGAUUGAUUUUGGUCGCCAACGAGUGGCGGACGGGUGAGUAACACGUAGGUAACCUGCCCAGAAGCGGGGGACAACAUUUGGAAACAGAUGCUAAUACCGCAUAACAACGUUGUUCGCAUGAACAACGCUUAAAAGAUGGCUUCUCGCUAUCACUUCUGGAUGGACCUGCGGUGCAUUAGCUUGUUGGUGGGGUAACGGCCUACCAAGGCGAUGAUGCAUAGCCGAGUUGAGAGACUGAUCGGCCACAAUGGGACUGAGACACGGCCCAUACUCCUACGGGAGGCAGCAGUAGGGAAUCUUCCACAAUGGGCGCAAGCCUGAUGGAGCAACACCGCGUGAGUGAAGAAGGGUUUCGGCUCGUAAAGCUCUGUUGUUAAAGAAGAACACGUAUGAGAGUAACUGUUCAUACGUUGACGGUAUUUAACCAGAAAGUCACGGCUAACUACGUGCCAGCAGCCGCGGUAAUACGUAGGUGGCAAGCGUUAUCCGGAUUUAUUGGGCGUAAAGAGAGUGCAGGCGGUUUUCUAAGUCUGAUGUGAAAGCCUUCGGCUUAACCGGAGAAGUGCAUCGGAAACUGGAUAACUUGAGUGCAGAAGAGGGUAGUGGAACUCCAUGUGUAGCGGUGGAAUGCGUAGAUAUAUGG
RNAcentral lists this ribosomal RNA (687 nucleotides) under Limosilactobacillus fermentum. Its description in RNAcentral is "bacterial SSU rRNA". It matches the Rfam family "Bacterial small subunit ribosomal RNA", at positions 57 to 701 of the family's 1533-position model. Lineage: Bacteria; Bacillati; Bacillota; Bacilli; Lactobacillales; Lactobacillaceae. The record is from RNAcentral.